Molecule: ribosomal RNA, 718 nt
Filed under: uncultured Lachnospiraceae bacterium
Lineage: Bacteria; Bacillati; Bacillota; Clostridia; Lachnospirales; Lachnospiraceae
Description: bacterial SSU rRNA
Rfam family: Bacterial small subunit ribosomal RNA
Source: RNAcentral
GAUGAACGCUGGCGGCGUGCUUAACACAUGCAAGUCGAACGAAGCACUUUAUUUGAUUUCCUUCGGGACUGAUUAUUUUGUGACUGAGUGGCGGACGGGUGAGUAACGCGUGGGUAACCUGCCUUGUACAGGGGGAUAACAGUUGGAAACGGCUGCUAAUACCGCAUAAGCGCACAGCAUCGCAUGAUGCAGUGUGAAAAACUCCGGUGGUAUAAGAUGGACCCGCGUUGGAUUAGCUUGUUGGUGGGGUAACGGCCCACCAAGGCGACGAUCCAUAGCCGGCCUGAGAGGGUGAACGGCCACAUUGGGACUGAGACACGGCCCAGACUCCUACGGGAGGCAGCAGUGGGGAAUAUUGCACAAUGGGGGAAACCCUGAUGCAGCGACGCCGCGUGAAGGAAGAAGUAUCUCGGUAUGUAAACUUCUAUCAGCAGGGAAGAUAGUGACGGUACCUGACUAAGAAGCCCCGGCUAACUACGUGCCAGCAGCCGCGGUAAUACGUAGGGGGCAAGCGUUAUCCGGAUUUACUGGGUGUAAAGGGAGCGUAGACGGUGUGGCAAGUCUGAUGUGAAAGGCAUGGGCUCAACCUGUGGACUGCAUUGGAAACUGUCAUACUUGAGUGCCGGAGGGGUAAGCGGAAUUCCUAGUGUAGCGGUGAAAUGCGUAGAUAUUAGGAGGAACACCAGUGGCGAAGGCGGCUUACUGGACGGUAACUGAC